AGUGAACGCUGGCGGUAUGCCUAAUACAUGCAAGUCGAACGGCAGCACAGUAAGAGCUUGCUCUUGCGGUUGGCGGGUGGCGGGCGGGUGAGGAGUACAUCGGAUUCUUCUUAUUCGGGGGGGAUUACGGAGGGAAGCGGACGCUAAUAGCGCAUACUUCGUACGGGAGGAAUCAAUGGUGCUUCAGACUUUUCGUGAUUGAUUGAGCCGAAUUCGGGUUGGAUUAGCUAGUUGGUAAGGUACCGGCCUACCAAGGCAACGAUGCGUAGCUGAGCUGAGAGGAUGAGCGGCCACACUGGAACUGAGACACGGUCCAGACUCCUACGGGAGGCAGCAGUGGGGAAUAUUGGACAAUGGGCGCAAGCCUGACCCAGCCAUACCGCGUGGGUGAAGAAGGCCUUCGGGUUGUAAAGCCCUUUUGUUGGGAAAGAAAAGCAGCAGGUUAAUACCCCGCUGUUCUGACGGUACCCAAAGAAUAAGCACCGGCUAACUUCGUG
RNAcentral lists this ribosomal RNA (497 nucleotides) under uncultured bacterium. Its description in RNAcentral is "partial 16S ribosomal RNA". It matches the Rfam family "Bacterial small subunit ribosomal RNA", at positions 29 to 507 of the family's 1533-position model. The record is from RNAcentral.